Molecule: ribosomal RNA, 543 nt
Filed under: Botrytis cinerea
Lineage: Eukaryota; Fungi; Ascomycota; Leotiomycetes; Helotiales; Sclerotiniaceae
Description: eukaryotic LSU rRNA
Rfam family: 5.8S ribosomal RNA (bases 180-333)
Source: RNAcentral
CUUCCGUAGGGUAACCUGCGGAAGGAUCACGACAGAGCACAAGCCCAAAAGGGUAGACCUCCCACCCUUGUGUAUUAUUACUUUGUUGCUUUGGCGAGCUGCCUUCGGGCCUUGUAUGCUCGCCAGAGAAUACCAAAACUCUUUUUAUUAAUGUCGUCUGAGUACUAUAUAAUAGUUAAAACUUUCAACAACGGAUCUCUUGGUUCUGGCAUCGAUGAAGAACGCAGCGAAAUGCGAUAAGUAAUGUGAAUUGCAGAAUUCAGUGAAUCAUCGAAUCUUUGAACGCACAUUGCGCCCCUUGGUAUUCCGGGGGGCAUGCCUGUUCGAGCGUCAUUUCAACCCUCAAGCUUAGCUUGGUAUUGAGUCUAUGUCAGUAAUGGCAGGCUCUAAAAUCAGUGGCGGCGCCGCUGGGUCCUGAACGUAGUAAUAUCUCUCGUUACAGGUUCUCGGUGUGCUUCUGCCAAAACCCAAAUUUUUCUAUGGUGACCUCGGAUCAGGCAGCAAAACACGCAAAACCCAAGCAUAUCAAAAUCGGGAGGAAGG